CGCGUAGGCGGCUUCGAUAGUCGGGCGUGAAAUGCCUGGGCUUAACCCAGGAAUUGCGUUCGAAACUCCGAGGCUAGAGUGUGGGAGAGGUUGGUGGAAUUCCCAGUGUAGAGGUGAAAUUCGUAGAUAUUGGGAAGAACACCGGUGGCGAAGGCGGCCAACUGGACCACAACUGACGCUGAGGCGCGAAAGCGUGGGGAGCAAACA
RNAcentral lists this ribosomal RNA (207 nucleotides) under uncultured bacterium. Its description in RNAcentral is "partial 16S ribosomal RNA". It matches the Rfam family "Bacterial small subunit ribosomal RNA", at positions 568 to 774 of the family's 1533-position model. The record is from RNAcentral.